This 116-nucleotide ribosomal RNA is filed under the name Escherichia coli. RNAcentral also lists the same sequence under 2 other names. Lineage: Bacteria; Pseudomonadati; Pseudomonadota; Gammaproteobacteria; Enterobacterales; Enterobacteriaceae. The record is from RNAcentral.
CCUGGCGGCCGUAGCGCGGUGGUCCCACCUGACCCCAUGCCGAACUCAGAAGUGAAACGUCGUAGCGCCGAUGGUAGUGUGGGGUCUCCCCAUGCGAGAGUAGGGAACUGCCAGGC